UGGAGGAAAGUAGGGGAUCGUAAGACCUUGCGCUUUUGGAGCGGCCGAUGUCUGAUUAGCUAGUUGGUGGGGUAAUGGCCUACCAAAGCUUCGAUCAGUAGCUGGUCUGAGAGGACGGCCAGCCACACUGGGACUGAGACACGGCCCAGACUCCUACGGGAGGCAGCAGUGGGGAAUUUUGGACAAUGGGCGCAAGCCUGAUCCAGCCAUGCCGCGUGAGUGAAGAAGGCCUUCGGGUUGUAAAGCUCUUUCAGCCGGGAAGAAAAGGCUGCGAUUAAUAAUCGCAGUUCAUGACGGUACCGGAAGAAGAAGCACCGGCUAACUACGUGCCAGCAGCCGCGGUAAUACGUAGGGUGCGAGCGUUAAUCGGAAUUACUGGGCGUAAAGGGUGCGCAGGCGGUUUUGUAAGUCAGAUGUGA
Molecule: ribosomal RNA, 419 nt
Filed under: uncultured ammonia-oxidizing beta proteobacterium
Lineage: Bacteria; Pseudomonadati; Pseudomonadota; Betaproteobacteria
Description: bacterial SSU rRNA
Rfam family: Bacterial small subunit ribosomal RNA
Source: RNAcentral